This 280-nucleotide ribosomal RNA is filed under the name uncultured bacterium. RNAcentral's name for it is "partial 16S ribosomal RNA". It matches the Rfam family "Bacterial small subunit ribosomal RNA", at positions 338 to 635 of the family's 1533-position model. The record is from RNAcentral.
CCUACGGGAGGCAGCAGUGGGGAAUCUUGCACAAUGGGGGAAACCCUGAUGCAGCGACGCCGCGUGAGCGAUGAAGCCCUUCGGGGUGUAAAGCUCUUUCGGCAGGAACGAUAAUGACGGUACCUGCAGAAGAAGCUGCGGCUAACUACGUGCCAGCAGCCGCGGUAAUACGUAGGCAGCAAGCGUUGUUCGGAAUUACUGGGCGUAAAGAGUGUGUAGGUGGUGUCGUAAGUUUGGUGUGAAAUCUCCCGGCUUAACUGGGAGGGUGCGCCGAAGACUG